UGGCUCAGUAACACGUGGAGAAUCUAACCUUCGGUGGAGGAUAAUCUCGGGAAACUGAGAAUAAUACUCCAUAAACAUAGGAUGCUGGAAUGCUUCUAUGUUGAAAGGCAACGCCAAAGGAUGACUCUGCGACCUAUCAGGCUGUAGUGAGUGUAAUGGACUCACUAACCUGCAACGGGUACGGGUGUUGGAAGACAUUGCCCGGAGAUGGACUCUGAGACAUGAGUCCAGGUUCUACGGAACGCAGCAGGCGCGAAAACUCCGCAAUGUACGAAAGUACGACGGGGGAAUUCUGAGUGCUUACGCCUUGCGUAGGCUGUUUUCUUGUCUAAAAAACAAGGAGAGUAAGGGCUGGGUAAGACGGGUGCCAUCUCGUGCAAUUCUGCACUUAUUGUGUUCGUUGCACGAAGCACAAGCCGCCGCGGUAAUACCCGCGGCCCGAGUGGUGCUCAUUAUUAUUGAGCCUAAAACGUCCGUAGCCGGUUUAAUAAAUUCUUGGGUAAAUCAUAUCGCUUAACGAUAUGAAUUCUGAGAACACUGCUAAACUCGGGAAUGGGAGAGGCCAGAGGUACUUUCAGGGUAGGGGUAAAAUCCCGUAAUCCUGAGAGGACCACCGGUGGCGAAGGCGUCUGGCUAGAACAUAUUCGACGGUAAGGGACGAAGCCCUGGGGCGCAAACGGGAUUAGAUACCCCGGUAGUCCAGGGUGUAAACGCUGUAGAUUUGGUGUUGGAAAUCCUACGGGGAUUCCCAGUGCCGGAGAGAAGUUGUUAAAUCUACUGCUUGGGGAGUACGGUCGCAAGACUGAAACUUAAAGGAAUCGGCGGGGGAGCACCGCAACGGGUGGAGCGUGCGGUUUAAUUGGAUUCAACGCCGAGAAACUCACCGGGGGCGACCAUUAUAUGAAGGCCAAGCCAAUGACUUUGCCUAAUUUUUGGAGAGGG
This 942-nucleotide ribosomal RNA is filed under the name uncultured archaeon. RNAcentral's name for it is "bacterial SSU rRNA". It matches the Rfam family "Archaeal small subunit ribosomal RNA", at positions 86 to 988 of the family's 1478-position model. The record is from RNAcentral.